CAGUGAUGCCCAGCAGAACAUCUCUUCCUUCUUAGUCAGAUGUCCCUUGGGAGUAGUUGUGCAAGGUUAAUUCUUUGCCUGGUAGAAGACUGUGGUGCAUUUUGGAUUAUAUUUUGUCUGUGAGAUCUUAGGUUGGUUCUUCAGAUGUUAGCCUUCUACUGGGGCAAUAUUUCUUUUUCUGUGUUUAUUUGUUGUUAUUGACUUCUAAUAUAAUUGCAUUGUUGUCAAAAGAUGUGGUCUGCGUGAUUGUAGUUCUUUGAUAUUUGUUGAGACUUUCAUUAUGGUCUAGUUUUAGUUAAAUUUUAUAAAUAUUCUUCAUAUGCUUGAGGAUAAUAUGUAUUCUGUAAUUUAAAUAUAUAUUAAAUUAGCCUUGAUAACCAUCCUGGUCUUCUGUAGCUUUAUUAAGUAAUUUUUUUGGUCUGCCUGAACUACCAAUACAUAAAAGAAAUGUAUUAAUCUCCCACUACAA
This 469-nucleotide long non-coding RNA is filed under the name Homo sapiens (human). RNAcentral's name for it is "novel transcript, sense intronic to ARID2". The record is from RNAcentral. Lineage: Eukaryota; Metazoa; Chordata; Mammalia; Primates; Hominidae.